AGCCCUUCUUCCACUACUCCUUCCUCAAAAGGCCUUCUAAGUCGUCACUCUCCUAGCACUGGUUACAAGAAAUGUCGGUGGGAGUGGUUGUUUUACGAUAAACCACUCUGAUAAAAAAAAUGCUCCAAUGAUUAUUUUUGAGAUGUCAGAGCUGAAAAUGUACAGAUUUCACUGGACGAAGAACCUGCCAAGUGGUGAUUGCACAACCAAAGCACUGCAAGGAACCAAGGAGGCCAAAUGUGUGUUGGAAAAAUCACAGAUGUCAUCUGGGAAUGCUCAGAGCCUUGGGCUUUCACGCUGAGACAGACUCGCUUCCACCGGAACCUCAGCCUUUUAAGGCUAAAUCAAGGCCGUGACUUCCUCAGCUGAAUCAACCUGACACUGUUCCCUGAGCUCACUGGGAUCCUAUUGGCAGAGCGUCAGCCCCGUCAUGGAAAGAAUGCCUCCACCAGGGAGGACUGGGUUAGUCCCCAUCCUGAACUGGAUCAUAAACACCCACCUUGUCAUAAAGCUGCUCCCCCACCCCAGCAUGUGUUCUGAAGUUCACAGGAAGGCUUCUCCUCAUUUGCUUUGGGGCCCGCAGGCUGCCUGCUAACAGCUGGGUCUUCCCAUGAACAAAUUAGACAGUUAAUGUUCCAGGAUGAAGAGGGCUUCGGGGAACAGAAUCUGCCGUUUAUUUGACUUGCUUCAUUAGACACAGUGCCAUCAUACCAAAAUUAGAAAAAAGAAG
Homo sapiens (human) is the source of this 730-nucleotide long non-coding RNA. The record is from Ensembl. Lineage: Eukaryota; Metazoa; Chordata; Mammalia; Primates; Hominidae.